UCACUUUCAACAACGGAUCUCUUGGCUCUCGCAUCGAUGAAGAACGCAGCGAAAUGCGAUAAGUAGUGUGAAUUACAGAAUUACGUGAAUCAUCGAAUCUUUGAACGCAAAUUGCACUCUCUGGUAUUCCGGGGAGUAUGCCUGUUUGAGGGUCGCU
This 157-nucleotide ribosomal RNA is filed under the name uncultured Glomus. RNAcentral's name for it is "5.8S ribosomal RNA". It matches the Rfam family "5.8S ribosomal RNA". Rfam says of the family: 5.8S ribosomal RNA (5.8S rRNA) is a component of the large subunit of the eukaryotic ribosome. Lineage: Eukaryota; Fungi; Glomeromycota; Glomeromycetes; Glomerales; Glomeraceae. The record is from RNAcentral.